RNAcentral lists this ribosomal RNA (464 nucleotides) under uncultured Methanosaeta sp. RNAcentral describes it as "bacterial SSU rRNA". It matches the Rfam family "Archaeal small subunit ribosomal RNA", at positions 875 to 1338 of the family's 1478-position model. The record is from RNAcentral. Lineage: Archaea; Methanobacteriati; Methanobacteriota; Methanomicrobia; Methanotrichales; Methanotrichaceae.
AGCACUACAACGGGUGGAGCCUGUCGGUUUAAUUGGAUUCAGCGCCGGAAAUCUCACCGGGGCGACAGCAAUAUGAAGGUCAGGCUGAAGACCUUACCCGAUUAGCUGAGAGGUGGUGCAUGGCCGUCGUCAGUUCGUACUGUGAAGCAUCCUGUUAAGUCAGGCAACGAGCGAGACCCACGUCCACAGUUGCCAGCAUACCCUCCGGGGUGAUGGGUACACUGUGGAGACCGCCGCUGCUAAAGCGGAGGAAGGAGUGGGCAACGGUAGGUCAGUAUGCCCCGAAUCUCCCGGGCUACACGCGGGCUACAAUGGUUGGUACAAUGGGCAUCUACCCCGAAAGGGGAAGGAAAUCUCUUAAAGCCAAUCGUAGUUCGGAUUGAGGGCUGCAACUCGCCCUCAUGAAGCUGGAAUCCGUAGUAAUCGCGUUUCAACAGAACGCGGUGAAUACGUCCCUGCUCCUU